UGGCGGACGGGUGAGUAACGCGUGGGUAACCUGCCUUGCACUGGGGGAUAACACUUAGAAAUAGGUGCUAAUACCGCAUAAGCGCACGGUCCUGCAUGGGACAGUGUGAAAAACUCCGGUGGUGCAAGAUGGACCCGCGUCUGAUUAGCUGGUUGGCGGGGUAAAGCCCACCAAGGCGACGAUCAGUAGCCGGCCUGAGAGGGUGGACGGCCACAUUGGGACUGAGACACGGCCCAAACUCCUACGGAAGGCAGCAG
RNAcentral lists this ribosomal RNA (257 nucleotides) under uncultured bacterium. RNAcentral describes it as "partial 16S ribosomal RNA". It matches the Rfam family "Bacterial small subunit ribosomal RNA", at positions 96 to 354 of the family's 1533-position model. The record is from RNAcentral.